GACGAACCGUACGAACGUUAUUCGGAAUUACUGGGCUUAAAGGGUGCGUAGGCGGCGCAGUAAGUUGGGUGUGAAAUCCCUCGCUUAACCGAGGAAUUGCGCCCAAAACUACUGUGCUCGAGGGAGGUAGAGGUGAGCGGAACUUAGGGUGGAGCGGUGAAAUGCGUUGAUAUCCUAAGGAACACCGGUGGCGAAAGCGGCUCACUGGACCUCUUCUGACGCUGAGGCACGAAAGCUAGGGUAGCAAACGGG
RNAcentral lists this ribosomal RNA (252 nucleotides) under uncultured bacterium. RNAcentral's name for it is "partial 16S ribosomal RNA". It matches the Rfam family "Bacterial small subunit ribosomal RNA", at positions 524 to 776 of the family's 1533-position model. The record is from RNAcentral.